Long non-coding RNA from Tympanuchus pallidicinctus (lesser prairie-chicken), 7068 nucleotides. RefSeq lists it as uncharacterized. Lineage: Eukaryota; Metazoa; Chordata; Aves; Galliformes; Phasianidae. The transcript is spliced from 5 exons. The record is from RefSeq and is a predicted model, not a curated record.
CUUUGUGUGUGUCUGCAAGGGGUAUAAAAUGGAAAGGCAAGGAAAGCAAUUUAUUAAAGCCAAGCUGAAGCAAGCAUAGAUGCCUUGUCAUCCAUUCCAAAAUGGGGAUUGUUGCCCUUCCACUCAUGCAAAAUGUCAGGUCAAUCUUUCUGCAACUUUCAUUUGCUCUGCUUGUCAUCAUUUCCUUGGCCUCAGGAAAGACUGCCUGACUUGUUUGUGUAAACCUGAUGACAGAACUUGGACAAACAGGAAGAUAUCUGGAAAGUAGCAAGUUACUAUUAAUGUGGAAGUUUCUAAAAGAGGAAAGAUUCUUCUGAAAGAAAAAGAACUGCUGAUUGUCAGGGCUCCAUGCUUUGAGAGUGCUGAUUCAUAUUUAAGAGAAGCUCCACUGGAGAUGGCAAAACAGAUUAUAUGAUCAUAAAAUCAGUAAUGCCUAAGCAUAGAGGAAGAGGCUUAUUCACACAAGACUCACUGAUUUAAAGAGGAGCCAAAAAAAAACUUGUGAGAAGAAUUAGUUCUCUGUAGCCAUAUUUGCAGUGGGAUGACUUCAGCUCAGGGAAGGUUGUACUGCCUAGCUGCUCCUGGAGGUCCAUGGAAAAGGGAUAUGGCCACCACUUCCCAAGAGCUUGGCUGAAGCUGCCACCACACUCAGACUAAGCCACUGGGGUCACAGGAGUGGGACGCUAGAAGACAUCUUGUGACUUCAACAGGAUCUAAAGCUUCAGCCAUUGGAAUUUCCUUACAAGGCCUUUGAUUGACCAAUGGGAGACUUAGAAGGCAUGAAAAGAACUGACCAGUUUUCUAACCUAAUAACUUCUCAGAAGAAAAUGCUCCAGUACUAGUUUUGGACUCCAAGGAAACUAGGAAAUGAAGUUGUGGCUUGGAUUCAGUCAUUCUUUAUGGCAUUUGGGCAUGUAAAACCCUGAUGAACCAUAAGCAAAAUGAAAGAAAGGACAAUUGUAAACAAGGUCUUUCAGUGCUAAUUUUAAAUCUAGGAUGACAAAUGGAGGUAUAUCAAUGCAACAACUACAGCAACUUCAAUCAUUUUCCUAUAUGUAGUUACUCAAAAUUCAAGUUGACAGGUAUGCCUCACCUAAAUUCUGAUAUGUGUCAUCUCCUGAUUUACAAAUGCUUGGUUUUGCAGAACAAAUAAAAUUCUUACCCUGUUACUUAAUGGUGCUGAAGAUAUUUCCUCUCUUAUCUUUUGUUAUCUUCUUUUUCUGUUGCUACUCGUAUCUGUCACCAGUCAUAUAUUUAAAUGCUUCCAUAGAUAACCUGUUCUGUGACUUUCUCAAACUUCUAUUUUAAUUCACAGUGUUUUUUCCCUUUCUUUCUGUAUCAUCAGUGUACAAUCUCCAGAGUACCAAGCAACUCACAGAGCAGCUUGAAAAGCUGCAUCACAGUGAACUCAAUGUCUGAGAGUCAGUAUUCUUUGCAAAUGCUAAUGGCUUUGAGCAAAUCAGUUUAUUUUUCAGUGUUUCCCUGUUCCCACCAUUUCUAGUAAUGCAGAUAGAGCUAUUCUCUUUUCUGAGCAAAAUGUAAUCUGGCAAAUUGGGUUGGUAGCAGGAAAAGGGGAGAGCUUUCAUCAUCUGGAUAAAAUGGACCUAAAGGUUUUAUAAAUUAAAGGCCAAUUAUUCCCCGGGGUGCAUGGUGGGCUUUCCACAGCAAUCAGUCUUGUGAAUCUGAAGACAGAACAGGGCCUUGACUGUCUGUGUUUGGACUUUGUCAGGCCAUUUGUUUGUGACCAGAAUUGUAUUGUUGUUCUGAUUUUCAAUAAAGGGAUGUUCACUGAGGCAUCACAUUGAUAUUUUUGAAGUACAUUCCAUGUUUUCAAAGAAACAAAUUUAUCAGCAACGAAUUGAAAUGUCUAGCUGUUUCCGUAUGCUGUAGAGAUUUCAAAUCAUGCUGCUGUGCAUGCAUUCAUUUUUCACCUGCUGGAUGUAAUGGGAAUGAGUUCACUACAAGAAUGAAAGCAUGUUAACAAGGAAGUGAUUUGGCCAAACCAUACUUCUUCCUCCUAACAGAUAAAAAAAGCCUUGACAAACAAAAGCUGAAGACAAAAGCUUGUUUUCAUUAAUCAUAAAUCAGAGAUGAUCCCCAAAUAGUACAGUGGGAGGCAAUGUUGGCAGUAGACCUGUGGGAUUUUAACAAGCUCAGCUUCCAUUCAUUGUUUUACCUGUAUCUAGGUUAACUACUGUCUGAAAGAGCUGUGUGGGAAAAUCUCAUUAUAUUAUCUUCAAUUAAAAAAGCUGAUUAUUUGUAGAAAAACUCUUCAGGCUUUCAUUUCCAAGUCCUGUACAAGGCAGAAACUUUGUCUAAGGUAUUAAAAAUCCUUCAGUGGAUGUGUAAAAUAUGGCCAAUAGUAAAGACCUUGAGAUGUUCCACUGAGUAUGUUCACAAAAUUUGAGUAAAGAUGUUGUUCCAGCUCCUGAGAGCUGAAAAGCUUCCUGCAAGACCAAGUGGCCAACCAGACUGAUUCUUUGGACAUUGAACCUACAGAGUAACCUGCUAAUAUAUCACAUGGAGCCAUGACUGAAAAUGCCUGGCUACUAUCAGACACAUCUACACUUCUGGAACCUAUGGACCUCAGUCUGCAUCAUGCUUGCCAAGAUUGCAAUAUCUGGUAUGUUUUCUGCAGUAUUUCUUGGCAAAAAGAGCAAGGCUAGAGGCGAAAGUUUGAAAGAUCUCUUAAAGGAGUAUUUUAAGCCUAGGAUGAAUUCUUGAAGUCCCUAGUACAGAUGAAACAUCCAACUAGAUACUGGGGGUCAGAAGUAGAAAAGAGGAAGAGAGAGGGAAAAGAAACUACAUUCAAGGAAGGUGAUUCUGUUUGGAAAAAAUGUCUCAUACAGUUUGGCACCUAACUCUUACCAUGCUGUUGCCAACUUGCAAGUUCAUAUGAGGUUUAUAGCAAGUUACAGGAAGAAUAAAAUGUUAAUCAUGUGCAGAACCUUAGUGUUGUAUCCACGCCAUCUAGUUCAACAAGAGUAAUAGCACACAGACUGAGUGAUUACAGAAUGACAUAAGUUUCUUUUCCACUUGAAUUUGAAAAUGUAUUUCCAUUUAAAGCUUAAUUUUUAUGUGUUUCAUCCAAAAUUAAGAAAACAAGAGGAUGUGCUUUUCAAGCACUAUAUAUAGACUGGAUCUGGCAUCAAUUUUUUUCUAACAGCUGUGUUAGAAGUAGUGACUUUUAACAUAGUAUCUAAAAACUUAUCAGCAUUUUAGGGUGGCUCAAAAACACAAAGGGCAAGGAGUUGGGGAAAAUCAGUGAUAAGGGUAGUUACUCAAAAGACUUAACUGCAUGCCGCAGCUUGUGUCCUCUUAACAUAUUACAAAACCUCCUAUUUAAAGUGUAGCAGAUCUAUUGAAAUGGGGUCUGAGACUGGAUAUAGCACAACAGAAUUAAAGAAUAUUUAAUUCUCAUUUUAAGAGCUGCAAAGUUGUUUUUUUGGGUUUGUUUGUUUGUUUGCUUUUAUUUUUAUUUUUCUGUAUUUACAUUCGUAACUAUGAAUUUUACUCUCAUCAAUUGAGGUCAAAGAUCGUAAUUCACAUAAAACUUAUCAUUAUUACAAGAAAAAGUAAGCCUUUCAUUAAUGAACUAUGCACUAGACAGUCUGUUCAGCUGAUUAAACUUUUCUAUUUCUGAAUUUUUUUAUGCAUUAUAAUCACCUCCUUGAAAACCUUCUUUCUUCUUGUAACUGGCUACAGACUCGAUGGAAAAUAUUUGGUCUUUUCCUUUCACACAAUACAAAUGGCAUGCUAAUUUUUGCCCAUGGAAAAUAAUGUUUUCAAGUACAAUAAACAUCUUUAUUAUCACCUUAGUAUGCACUGGAGUCAUUCUGAUGUAUUGCAAAUACAUUGGACCCAUAUAUAUAUGUAGCAAAAAUAUAUAAUUUUGUCUGUUGUUGUUGUUUGUUUUAAAAAAAAGAAAUUCUUCAGAAACCUGCUCAGGGUGAGUGGGCCUACUUAUUAGAAAUGACUUCUCCAAACUUCCGUCUACAAAUUAAUGUUGCACUUUGGAGAAAACAAAUUUAUUUUGGAGAAAGUGUUGUCAUUGCAUUUCUUUAUUUCUUGCCAUUUUUUCUUUGUUUGAUAGAUAAGAUUUCUUGUGCAGUGCUUUCUUUUCUUGUUUAUUAGAGUUAUUAGUUUAUUUAUGGUCUAUUGGUGCACAACAGUUCUUUAAGCUUAUAGUAUCUACUUUAUUGUCAGUAAGAAAGAUGAGAAGCAAAAGUGUGAAGGGUUUUCCUAGGGUAAAACAAGAACGAUAAGCAUUUCAAGUGAGAAACUUAAGUGAGUGAAGAAAAGCUGGACUGCAGAAAAUUAAGAUGAGACUGUCAAUUUGCAUGGGUAAGUAACAUAGUGUUGAGUUUUAUCUUUAAAGCAAUUAUUAUAUCUGGUUUAUAUUCAGCUACUUCACAUCGUCCAACAUUUUUGCAAUAUAAUGCAGUAACAUUUUUUAAUUUAUUUGCUUUUUAUCUUGCCAGCUGGCCUGCAUCUUUCGUUUUCCUUUGCAGUGUUGUAUUAGAUACAGUAAGGAAAAUUUUCCACUUUUUCUAUUUGGAAAAAGUGAAUAGAAGAAUCUGAAUCCAGAGGGAAAGGGAGGAAACAUAAGUUUAUUUUUCUGCAUAUUUUUUCUGACAGCAAAAAGAAGAAACAUUUUUUUUCACUUGUAAUCACAUAAUAUAGUAAAAAGUUUUUGAAGUUUGCUAAGACUUCUGGAUAUAUCUAUUACUAUUUAUACAAAUUUACUGUAUUAUCUGCAUGGAAGAUAUGCAAGUCUUUUUCUGCUGCACUGAUUUACACUAGAAAGGUGAUGCCUGUAUUUUCUAAAGAGAUGAAUUUCAUCUGAAAGACAGGGAUGGAAAGACAACUUACAAUUCUGCAGAACAUCUUUUCUGCAGUGUUGCUACCAAAACAAAACAAAAACAAACAAACAAACAAAAAAGUCAAACCUAAAUCUUGAAGCUCCCCUCUACUCUCCCAAGGAAACUUUAAAUUAGGAGAGGUCCUUGAAGUUUCAGUAAGAAUUUAGCAAAAGCACAAGCACUUAGCCAUCUUUUGUGAUGACAUGUAUUCUCAAAAGCUUCACCACAUUCAUGAAAAUGAAUAGGAAGUUCCUAUCUUCUAGUUUAGCACAGCUGAGUCCAAUGAAGGGCAUCAUUUAACAUAUAUGGAAAACAUGUAAGUCCCUUUGAAAGUAAUGUCUCCUAUUUACUUCCAGGGAAACUACAACAUGUACAAAGAACACAAUAACUACUGCUAUUGUGCGGAUCAACUGUUAUUGUGCUGUUAUUUCCUCUCCUUGAAGGCUGGUUACAUCAAUGAGAAACACUGAAAAUAUAUUUCCAAUAAGUAAUCUUUAGGGAGUCAGAGAAGCAGUAAAGGACAAUUUGUAUGGUCUCUGAAAUGUUGACUUCCGCAUAAAUUGAAGAUGAAUUGUGAGAGACCAUGUUGGGAAAGCAGAAUUUCGAAAGUAAGUCAGAUUGGAUUGUUGUUUCUGUAGUGGAAGCAUGUUUAUAUUUUUUUCAUAAAUUUCUAGGGAAAAAUACUUGAAUUUGUCGAAACUAGCUGUCAAUUUCAUGAACAGCAAAAAUAGUGAUGUUAGGAAUUUACUAUGAAAGUACUUCCUGAUAUAUAUACUUUAAUAUACAAAUAUUCUCAUUGCACAUUACAAUAAAAUAAUUUAUUACUAUUAUAUAAAAUAAUAUACAACAUGCAAUACUGCAUAUAUAUUAUACAUAAAUAUAUUUUUUUACAUCCACUAAAUAUGUGGAAUCACUCAGCUGCUGUAAUUUAUCCUGCUAAAAAAUUUACUAGUUUUACAGCGUUCAUGAAUGUACUUACAUUUUAUCAAUGUGGGAAACUAUCUGCCUGUGUUUUUUAAGCUACACUGAAUUUUUAGAGCCUUGAUCUUAUGUACAAAGUAAUAUCUUUAGACUUUCUGAGACUUUAACCAGCAGAGUUGUCAAAUUAAACUGGGUCAUUUUGUAAAUGUAUCUUUAAUAAGUACAUAUGUCUGUCAUGCUUCCCUACUCAGUCUUAUAAAUCAGACUGUAUCUAGCUGUCAGAUGCUCUCAGCCCAGCUGUCCUAAUCUGUCAAGUAAAAAUUAUAGCAUCUAGGUUCAUAUCCAUCUCUGAAAAUAUUUAUUUAUACCAGUGACACAUCAAGGACACACAAUCUUCUUUUUUUUUUUUAAUUAUUUUCCCAGCAACAAAACCAUUAACAGCUGGCUCAAGUCCCUGCCAGGAGGGCAGUGUUAAUAUAUACAGAGAAUUUAUAGUGGAGGAACACAGGAGUCAAGCAAAAUAAUUGCUGGAUUGUAUUUUUAAAAACUCUUACUAAAUUUCAGACAUAGAGCAUUCAGAUUUGUCUUAGUAUAGAAUAGUAAUUGUAUGCCUUUUAUCAUCCUCACCCUCUAUUCAUCAGCAAUGAAUGAAGAAGCCUCUACUCCUGUAUUGCAGAGAUCUUGAGAUUGCCUACAGAUUUGGCCUCUCUUCAAUACGUAGAAAUUAACUACUGCAGUUCUAAUGACAAAUCAGGUACAUCAUAAACCAUUGCUGUAACUUUAGAGGAGUAAACAAGACGUGGAGAAUUUGAAAUGAAUGCCUUUCCUACUUCCGUCAGCUCUUUCUGAGCAGAAACUAUGAUAUUGGUGUUUAAGAGUAAGGGGAACUGAGGGAGAAUAGGAUGAAGGAAUCCUUCACAUUUUGAAAAGAACAGAAAUUUCUAUCACGUGUAGGCAAAGAGAUGGUAGAGAAGAGUAGGCUAUUACUUGUUUAAAAAUUUUUGACUGCACCCUGUUAAAGCAACCACCAAAACUCACCUGCAUUCAGUUAAAGACAAGAAGAAAAAGAACAGUAAUUCUUUGAUAUCUUGUACACAAACAAAAAUCAAAUAUCAGUCUGCUGUAAACUUAAAACUUAUUGUAAUCAUACUAAAAGUAAUUUUGUCUCUGUGUAAGCACACAAAUGCACGCCUGAGAUGGGUAAAUUAUCAGAAACUCCUUCUAUACGAUUAACUCAGCUUCAUUUUGAGCAUUUUGAACAUUUUGAAUGUUCAUUUUGAACAUU